Molecule: non-coding RNA, 26 nt
Filed under: Homo sapiens (human)
Lineage: Eukaryota; Metazoa; Chordata; Mammalia; Primates; Hominidae
Source: RNAcentral
UCUUCAUGCUUGAUGAGAGGUGGGCA